AGGGAAUAUAACUUACCAAAUGUGACGCAGAAAGUGUGAAGCAACAAUUUAAAAAUAGGAUACGGUUAAAGGAACUUAUAACAGGGAUGUCAACUGAUGAUGUGAGAAAACUGUCUGAAAAUAACUGAAAGAGAGCUAGGAAUUGUGUUUGACUUAUGUGAAAUAAGUACAUCACCAUCACCAUAUAGAUACCAUCCCCCACAAGAACAGACUAGUCCAAGUUGGUAUAAGUGUGGCAAUUGUAGGGAGAUAUGACAACAGAAGUUGAGAGGAAAUGCUGUGACAACCUUCCACGGAACUGCAGUUCACAACAACCAGAAAUUGAAUGUUAGUACUGGACGAGCAUGUUUUGCGACUCGCAUACACAUACAGAAAGGACAGUUUGGAACUCCACAACUUGAUGCUUGGUUACUACAACAAGGCCAUGAGGCAUACAGCCUAUAGCCACUUUGUCUUAUUGAAAAAAGGUCGUCUGAGUGUGAUAUCACGCUGUUGUGUUUCGAGAAUCUGGUAUAAGUUUCCACACCAAUGUGGCAGUUACGUGGGUUUCACACGUGAUAGACUGGCUUAGUAGCUUAUUGUGGUUUAAAGACAACAUUCAAAGACUGAUUGGAAUCGACUUCGUUUCUUGGAAACCAGAACUUCUGUUGCCUCAGGUUCUAUCUCUGCAAUGGUUCUGGAUGUUCUUCUUGGAUCAUCCUGUGAGAUUGUCACUGGAUGUUGCAUGUUCAAAAUGCCUCAUCUAUUCUUUUGUGCAUGAUCUGUGUUAAUAAUUCAAGAAUGAACUGGUACAAUUUCCAAAACAGGCACCA
Long non-coding RNA from Gigantopelta aegis, 812 nucleotides. RefSeq lists it as uncharacterized. The transcript has 3 exons. Lineage: Eukaryota; Metazoa; Mollusca; Gastropoda; Neomphalida; Peltospiridae. The record is from RefSeq and is a predicted model, not a curated record.